This 395-nucleotide ribosomal RNA is filed under the name uncultured bacterium. RNAcentral's name for it is "bacterial SSU rRNA". It matches the Rfam family "Bacterial small subunit ribosomal RNA", at positions 29 to 410 of the family's 1533-position model. The record is from RNAcentral.
AAUCAACGCUGGCGGCGUGCCUAACACAUGCAAGUCGAACGCGAAAAGGGGGCAACCCUGGGUAGAGUGGCGUCCGGGUGAGUAACACGUGGAUAAUCUACCUGCGGGUGGGGAAUAACUUUCCGAAAGGGGAGCUAAUACCGCAUAACACUAAGUGGUGGCAUCACCAAAUAGUCAAAGUGGGGGAUCGCAAGACCUCACGCCUGUAGAGGAGUCCGCGGCCGAUUAGCUAGUUGGUGAGGAACAGCUCACCAAGGCGACUAUCGGUAGCCGGCCUGAGAGGGGCGAACGGCCACACUGGCACUGAAAACGGGCCAGACUCCUACGGGAGGCAGCAGUGGGGAAUUUUGGGGCAAUGGCCGAAAGGCUGACCCAGCAACGCCGCGUGAAGGAUG